RNAcentral lists this ribosomal RNA (449 nucleotides) under uncultured bacterium. RNAcentral's name for it is "partial 16S ribosomal RNA". It matches the Rfam family "Bacterial small subunit ribosomal RNA", at positions 29 to 523 of the family's 1533-position model. The record is from RNAcentral.
AACGAACGCUGGCGGCAUGCCUAACACAUGCAAGUCGAACGAGACCUUCGGGCCUAGUGGCGCACGGGUGCGUAACGCGUGGGAAUCUGCCCUUCGGUUGGGACUAACUGAGAGAAAUUUCAGCUAAUACCUUAUAAUGUCUUCGGACCAAAGAUUUAUCGGCGAGGGAUGAGCCCGCGUAGGAUUAGGUAGUUGGUGGGGUAAUGGCCUACCAAGCCGACGAUCCUUAGCUGGUCUGAGAGGAUGAUCAGCCACACUGGGACUGAGACACGGCCCAGACGCCGUCUGGCGGCAGCCGUGGGGAAUAUUGGACAAUGUGCGAAAGCCUGAUCCAGCAAUUCCGCGUGAGGGAUGAAGGCCUUAGGGUUGUAAAGCUCUUUUACCCGAGAUUAUAAUGACAGUACCGGGAGAAUAAGCUCCGGCUAACUCCGUGCCAGCAGCCGCGGUAA